Molecule: long non-coding RNA, 426 nt
Filed under: Mytilus galloprovincialis (Mediterranean mussel)
Lineage: Eukaryota; Metazoa; Mollusca; Bivalvia; Mytilida; Mytilidae
Source: RNAcentral
CCCCGCCGCAAGUGGAUAAUAUUAAUUGUGUAAAAAUAUGCAAGUGUUCGGUAAACAGGAAGUUGUCGAGUGAUGAAUCUGAAAACGCAUCACACGGUAUAGCUGACUUAUAUUAACCCUUAAACCAAAUUUCAGAAAUCCUUGUAUUGUAGUUCCUGAGAAAAAUGUGACGAAAAAUUUUCAACUUGGCUAUCAUGUGUAAAAUCAAACAAGUGUUCGGUAAAAGGAAGUUGUUGAGUGAUGAAUCUGAAAACGCAUCACACGGUAUAGCUGACUUAUAUCAAGCCUGAAACCAAAUUUCAGAAAUCCUGGUAGUGUAGUUCCAGAGAAAAAUGUGACGAAAAAUAUUCAUGGGACGGACGGACUGACUGACAGACUGACGGACUGACGGACUGACGGACUGAUGGACUGACGGACUGAAGGAAG